This 218-nucleotide ribosomal RNA is filed under the name uncultured bacterium. Its description in RNAcentral is "partial 16S ribosomal RNA". It matches the Rfam family "Bacterial small subunit ribosomal RNA", at positions 118 to 334 of the family's 1533-position model. The record is from RNAcentral.
UAGGCAACCUUCCCAAGACCGGGACAACAUCUCGAAAGGGGUGCUAAUACCGGAUGUGACCCAUGAGAGACAUCUCUUGUGGAUUAAAGCGCGCAAUCGGCUUUUGGGAGGGGCCUGCGGCCUAUCAGCUAGUUGGUGUGGUAACGGCUCACCAAGGCGACGACGGGUAGCUGGUCUGAGAGGAUGGUCAGCCGGACUGGGACUGAGACACGGCCCAG